UAAAAUGUCCAUAUGGCAGCGAGGCCGUUUAUUGCAGGGCAUAUAUUUUUUCGUACAUGCGUUUCUAGGUAACCCAUGUAAGCAACGUGAAGAGUAGUGCUGACCGAUUCCGGUUGGUUCGUCAUAUUUCGCCACAUUUCCGGUGCACAAGCGACGUAUUGAAAACGCGUUUCUAUAACCUAGGUUGGACUUUGGCAUCACAGCAUUACUAUGGGGCGCGGGAAAUGUCUGCAUUUUGUGUGGGUCUUUCUUUGAUUUUAGUUGUGCUGCUAUUGACUGAUCAUCACUGCGUGGGGCAGGCCUUGCAGUCUGAUCAUGCUUACAGAGGACGGCGUUAUACACCAUCUGGAUGGUUUGCCACCCCGAGGGCGGAUGCCAGCCCCGCCGUAGAGCCGGCGCCGGGACCGUCCAGGGAGGCCGCCGAGACGCCAGCCCUUCAGUCUUUCACGGAGAACCCACAGGCCUGAGUCGAUGACGACAGCGAUGACGAUGACUUUGUGGAUCCCCUGUCACGUUGGGCCGUCUGACCUGUCGGCGCCCGCGGCGGUCCGCAGCGUCCCCCCCCCCCCCCCCCCCACCGCCUGUGACUAACCCAACGGCCGGUGCCCACAACACCAUGUCGGAUCUCCCAGGCAAGAUGCAGAAGUCCAUUCUUCAAGAUCUGGACGAUCACCCUAAGCAUGACCUGACAUGGGUCAAGGCGCCGUCGGCAUUCAUGACUGACUGGUGCGCCGCACAGUCUGCAGAACUGCGACGAGCAAAAUCGAGCGCUGGGUCACAGAACAUGUCAUGUCAAGUUGAGGUCAUGGAACGGCAAGUUGGUUAGUUAAACAUAACAUACAACGCACCAUAGGAAUAUUCUCAUGCAGGCUGUUUUCUCUCAUUUCGGCGUUAUGAUCAUUGCAUGUUCAUCAGAUGCCUUGUCAUGGAAAUAUCCCGGCCUCUCGGUAAAUGCCUAUGGUUACAUGCUUAGGCUUAGUGGGGCUUUACUAUCUGAUGCCUUUCUGGUCGUUCCAAACACAGAGCUUGAGGUGACGGCACGCAUUUAAGUCUAAAUGUGCUUGGGUAAGUGUGCAAGAUAUCUGAUGUGUGCAUGUAUUGAAGAAAAGAGGUGGUGCGCACAGGAACCUACAAUGUUUAUCUUGGGGCACACAGUCGCUCCCUGCAUGCCUGUACCGGGUGCUGGCCCGGCUCAGGCUCCUGCUGUAGGUAGAGCCGGGAAGGAGUCCGAUUUAACGUUGCGUAGUCUUCGUCUUUGUUGUGGCCGUGGAAGCGGGGGUGGCUUGAUACGAUGGCCUGUGACGAUGGUAUGUGAUGGUGUAUUUGAUCGUUUUAUGAUGACGAUGCGUUUGCCUCCGGACGGAAAACUGUACGCUGUGCUUGGUUCAGUCUCCUUUUUGGCUGCAUAAAUAACUUGGACGGCUUGUGAAUGUUGUUUUAUUGUGUUUGUGAGAAGUCCUGUGGACGGAAUGUGUUAUGUCUGGUUUAGGCGGAAUGCGUCUAAACUUUCGUCGUUUCGUGUCUUCUAAGGUGUGUUCUGUCGAUCUGAAUACACUUGCAUGGCAUGUUGAA
Long non-coding RNA from Pollicipes pollicipes, 1572 nucleotides. RefSeq lists it as uncharacterized. The record is from RefSeq and is a predicted model, not a curated record. NCBI's taxonomy places the organism in Eukaryota, Metazoa, Arthropoda, Thecostraca, Pollicipedomorpha, Pollicipedidae. The transcript is spliced from 2 exons.